RNAcentral lists this small nuclear RNA (167 nucleotides) under Sorex araneus (European shrew). RNAcentral describes it as "U1 spliceosomal RNA (ENSSARG00000016178.1)". It matches the Rfam family "U1 spliceosomal RNA". Rfam says of the family: U1 is a small nuclear RNA (snRNA) component of the spliceosome (involved in pre-mRNA splicing). Lineage: Eukaryota; Metazoa; Chordata; Mammalia; Eulipotyphla; Soricidae. The record is from RNAcentral.
AUACUUACUUGGAGGGGAACUACCAUGAUCCUGAAAGUAUUUUUUACCAGAGUGAGGAUUGUCUGUUGCACUCCAGAUGUGCUGACCCCUGUGAUUUCCCCAAAUUGAAUUGAAUUACUCGAUUGAAUAAUUUGUGGUAGUGGAGACUGCAUUCAUGCUCUCCUCUG